This 157-nucleotide ribosomal RNA is filed under the name uncultured fungus. RNAcentral describes it as "5.8S ribosomal RNA". It matches the Rfam family "5.8S ribosomal RNA". From Rfam's summary of the family: 5.8S ribosomal RNA (5.8S rRNA) is a component of the large subunit of the eukaryotic ribosome. The record is from RNAcentral. Lineage: Eukaryota; Fungi.
AAACUUUCAACAACGGAUCUCUUGGUUCUGGCAUCGAUGAAGAACGCAGCGAAAUGCGAUAAGUAAUGUGAAUUGCAGAAUUCAGUGAAUCAUCGAAUCUUUGAACGCACAUUGCGCCCCGUGGUAUUCCGCGGGGCAUGCCUGUCCGAGCGUCAUC